RNAcentral lists this ribosomal RNA (468 nucleotides) under uncultured bacterium. RNAcentral describes it as "partial 16S ribosomal RNA". It matches the Rfam family "Bacterial small subunit ribosomal RNA", at positions 28 to 507 of the family's 1533-position model. The record is from RNAcentral.
GACGAACGCUGGCGGCGUGCUUAACACAUGCGAGUCGAACGGAAAGGCCCUGCUUUUGUGGGGUGCUCGAGUGGCGAACGGGUGAGUAACACGUGAGUAACCUGCCCUUGACUUUGGGAUAACUUCAGGAAACUGGGGCUAAUACCGGAUAGGAGCUCCUGCUGCAUGGUGGGGGUUGGAAAGUUUCGGCGGUUGGGGAUGGACUCGCGGCUUAUCAGCUUGUUGGUGGGGUAGUGGCUUACCAAGGCUUUGACGGGUAGCCGGCCUGAGAGGGUGACCGGCCACAUUGGGACUGAGAUACGGCCCAGACUCCUCCGGGAGGCAGCAGUGGAGAAUAUUGCACAAUGGGCGGAAGCCUGAUGCAGCAACGCCGCGUGCGGGAUGACGGCCUUCGGGUUGUAAACCGCUUUCGCCUGUGACGAAGCGUGAGUGACGGUAAUGGGUAAAGAAGCACCGGCUAACUACGUG